AGAGGCGUUUAGAAUGGAGGAGAGGAGCUGGGCUCAUCUGCGAGCUUGAGUGGAACAGCAGUGGGGACAGGAGAGCUGCGACAUUGGAGAAGUUCCAAAGAGGCUGUUUCCUUGCUUAGCCACGGGUGGAAGUCACAUCCACUGAACUGUCACCUGGCAGGCAUUAUAAAUUAAGGAGGAAUAGUAACAAAGAGCUUGAAGACAUGCACAGCUCACAGGCCCCGGGUGGAGGCUGGCGACAUCAGACAGACAGAACCAAGACAUCUGAGGGGCAACCAGGAGGUGCGUGUGGCUGCAGAGCACACAGACUUGUCUUUGGACAAAAUUGAGAAGAACUCAUAAACUUGGCUUCCUCGCUUCUGCUCCUCAGACCCCUGCAAACAUGACUUACCUUGGAAAC
Molecule: long non-coding RNA, 400 nt
Filed under: Homo sapiens (human)
Lineage: Eukaryota; Metazoa; Chordata; Mammalia; Primates; Hominidae
Description: non-protein coding MIR100HG:66
Source: RNAcentral